Larimichthys crocea (large yellow croaker) is the source of this 1140-nucleotide long non-coding RNA. RefSeq lists it as uncharacterized. The record is from RefSeq and is a predicted model, not a curated record. Lineage: Eukaryota; Metazoa; Chordata; Actinopteri; Sciaenidae. The transcript is spliced from 3 exons.
GGAUUGCAGAGAGAAAAGUCGUAAGAAAAAGGAAGGGAAAGAGAAAAAAAUAGGAGGGACGUUAAGAGAGAAAAAUGAGAGGAAUGGAUGCAGAGAGUCAGAAAGGGUAAAGAGAAAAAGAGAGAGAUAAUAAGACCGCAGUGAAUGAAAGCCUGCCUGCAUUGCAGACAGACUAACAGCUGAACUAGAGGGUCACUGAGUUCCUCCGGAGCAGAACAGAGUAGAAGAUGGGGGGAAAAGAGAGGAGAGGUGGAGGAGGAGAGAACAGAGAAGGGGAUGUUGAUAAACAAAAUCCUCUUUUUGGAUGAGUGCAGGGACUCCAGACUCCCUGAGCUACUCGGUCUACGUAACCUCUGAGACAAUUAAAAUAAAGCGAGCUCAUGGGGGGUAAGAGGCACGAGAGAGAGAGCUAAAAAAAAAAUAAAAAUCUUUUGGCACUCUGCAAAACUGCAGGCAACCACAAAACAACAAGCUGGAUAUCCUGAAGAGGUUUUUUUUCUCCUCUGCCCUCACAUCUUUUUCUCCCCGUCCAAAGCUUCUGCUUACUUUUUGGAGAAGAGCUGCAUCCAAAAAAAGAAGAACGAACAACAGAUUUGGAAUCAACAGCAACCACAUGCUGAGCUGGGCAGAGCAGCUCCAGUUAUCAUCACCCAAGACAGGACAAGAUACAGCCCAACUCUCCUGAACUUGGCUUAAUGAAAACCGAUGAGGACAGGGGCUGAGAAUGGGCAGCUUGCCGUUUUCAGACCUGGAAACCAGCAGCAGAGCCACUUGCUGAGACUACUCUCAAUCCUGUCCCGACCUCAACCUCAACGGUCCAUGGAGAAAGAAUAACAACACUAAUACUGCCCACCGCUAAUGAUCCUAACAUUUACUUCUUUACUCUGUCAGAUGACAAACACAUCCGAGUGGUAAAUUAUGGGGCUAAUUCUGAGGCAGUAUGAACAGAAUGAAUCAUAAAUGUUCCCUAAUAAGACAUCUAUGGAGGAAACCUCAAAGCCACACUGUAAUGCCCCUUUAAUUCAGUAUGAUUCAUUUGUCAGAUUGUUAGAAGGUCAACAUUAUGAUGGAGCCGGCCACACUGUCUCCCCACAUGCUGCUAAUGGUGAACUAAUAAGGUCAGUUACUAGGUAGUCAGAU